Capsicum annuum is the source of this 106-nucleotide non-coding RNA. The record is from Rfam. Lineage: Eukaryota; Viridiplantae; Streptophyta; Magnoliopsida; Solanales; Solanaceae.
UGAUGAUGAUGAGGGAAAUUCUUGAGCAUAACCUUGAAUUUUCCCAAGCUUGGUAAAGAUUCUCUCCAUCUUUCUUCCUGAAACUCAAAGUAUCACUUCUUAAAUG